CCUACGGGAGGCAGCAGUGAGGAAUAUUGGUCAAUGGGCGCGAGCCUGAACCAGCCAAGUAGCGUGAAGGAUGACUGCCCUACGGGUUGUAAACUUCUUUUAUAAAGGAAUAAAGUGAGGCACGUGUGCCUUUUUGUAUGUACUUUAUGAAUAAGGAUCGGCUAACUCCGUGCCAGCAGCCGCGGUAAUACGGAGGAUCCGAGCGUUAUCCGGAUUUAUUGGGUUUAAAGGGAGCGUAGAUGGGUUGUUAAGUCAGUUGUGAAAGUUUGCGGCUCAACCGUAAAAUUGCAAUUGAUACUGGCAGGCUAGAGUACAGUUGAGGUAGGCGGAAUUCGUGGUGUAGCGGUGAAAUGCUUAGAUAUCACGAAGAACUCCGAUUGCGAAGGCAGCUUACUAAACUGCCACUGACAUUGAUGCUCGAGAGUGUGGGUAUCAAACAGGAUUAGAUACCCUGGUAGUC
Molecule: ribosomal RNA, 460 nt
Filed under: uncultured bacterium
Lineage: Bacteria
Description: partial 16S ribosomal RNA
Rfam family: Bacterial small subunit ribosomal RNA
Source: RNAcentral